RNAcentral lists this transfer RNA (41 nucleotides) under Jovellana violacea. Its description in RNAcentral is "partial transfer RNA-Leu". Lineage: Eukaryota; Viridiplantae; Streptophyta; Magnoliopsida; Lamiales; Calceolariaceae. The record is from RNAcentral.
CGMCUUUAAAAAUCGUGAGGGUUCAAGUCCCUCUAUCCCCA